Molecule: long non-coding RNA, 979 nt
Organism: Gadus macrocephalus (Pacific cod)
Lineage: Eukaryota; Metazoa; Chordata; Actinopteri; Gadiformes; Gadidae
Exons: 4
Source: RefSeq, a predicted model, not a curated record
AAUUACUAAUUCUUUUAAUAAAACUAAUUGAUUAAUAAUUGUAAUCAUUUUAGGAUCUUUAAUGGAUAACAUUCUUUCCAGUGUUUUUCAGUGAUUUCCAACUCAACUUAGGUUUGAGUGCUUUAAGAAUCCUUCACAAGUGGGGACAUUUGGGUUGUCGUACAGCCACCUUGCUUAUAACCUCUCUAAAGUUGAAUUUAUAUGGUUAACAUUGUACUUGUAGUGAAAUAUCAACAUCAUAGGUGGGAGUGAAGGAGCUAAAUGGAAUCCCUCAAAUGUAGUAAAACAUGUUUUUUAAUUAAUGAAAUUACUUUUAAUUGUAGAAAAUACCUGGAAAACAGUCUUUCUUACAACCCCUGCUUGCUCUAGCCGUCCCGUCAGUCUUGUAAGUUGGGUUGAUAAUAGGAAACAGGAGGCGUGUUUAACCCGCAGGGCUUUCCGUAACUAGCUCUGUCAACCAUUAUGGAAAGAAAGAAUUCCGAAGCCUUUGACAAGGCUUCGUAACUAAAGGACGAUCGGUGUCACUCGCAAUAUCUAAGGAUUCAACAUUUAUUUGUUUAAAUCGUAAGCCUACAAUGUGUCCUGUCAGGUAUCUGUCAUUGUUUAUCAUUUUGGGCUUUGUGCGGCUCUCCCUCACUGCGGAGGGGAUUCUAUGCGAGAUUCCGAAGGAAGAUGCUGGAGCAUGGGGUUCAUCUCCUCUGAGGUUCUCCUCCACUGAGACUUUGGCGACUCGAGGAUUCUCUCAGUGUGUCAGCAUGCACAUUCGGCUUCGACCCGAAGACUUCAACCAUACAACAAACCAUACGAUAAUGAUUAUUAUCCUGUCAUCAGGUAUACAUAUUACCAUCAAGAAGUUAAAUAAUAAGGUUGGACAUUCUCUUCUCACUUGCAAUGAAAUAAAAGUCAUUCUCAAAAAGAACUUUGGAAAAUAAUAAUAUCAGCUAAAUUGUUUGUCUUCUUGAUUUCAGUGGAGGAUAGG